AGAAUCAACGCUGGCGGCGUGCCUAACACAUGCAAGUCGCACGAGAAAGGGGAGCAAUCCCUGAGUAAAGUGGCGCACGGGUGAGUAACACGUGAAUAAUCUACCUCCGAGUGGGGAAUAACUGAGAGAAAUCUUAGCUAAUACCGCAUAACACUUACGAGUCAAAGCAGCAAUGCGCUUGGAGAGGAGUUCGCGGCCGAUUAGUUAGUUGGCGGGGUAAUGGUCCCACCAAGACGAUGAUCGGUA
RNAcentral lists this ribosomal RNA (246 nucleotides) under uncultured bacterium. RNAcentral describes it as "partial small subunit ribosomal RNA". It matches the Rfam family "Bacterial small subunit ribosomal RNA", at positions 26 to 285 of the family's 1533-position model. The record is from RNAcentral.